GUGUUGUUUGUUAAGGGCACACGGUGGAUGCCUUGGCAUUAUGAGCCGAUGAAGGACGUGUAAGGCCGCGAUAGGCCUCGGGGAGUUGCCAAUAGAGCGUUGAUCCGAGGGUGUCCGAAUGGGGAAACCUGGCCAUGGUUAUGUGUGGUUACCCAUCAGUGAAUUCAUAGCUGGUGUGGGGGUGACGCGGGGAAGUGAAACAUCUCAGUACCCGUAGGAGAAGAAAAUAAUUAAUGAUUCUGCUAGUAGUGGCGAACGAACGUGGAUGAGGCUAAACCGUAUGCGUGUGAUACCUGGCAGGGGUUGCGUGUGUGGUGUUGUGGGGCGUUGUUGGAGGAGGCUGCCGGCUCCUCGCUUGUUAUAUGUGUGUGUUAGCGGAAGUGGUUUGGAAUGGCCUGCCGUAGUGGGUGAGAGUCCCGUACGUGAAAACAUGUGCAUGCGAGUGGAUGAUGUUCCCGAGUAGCAGCGGGCUCGUGGAAUCUGCUGUGAAUCUGCCGGGACCACCCGGUAAGCCUAAAUACUUAUGAUGACCGAUAGCGGAUUAGUACCGUGAGGGAAUGGUGAAAAGUACCCCGGGAGGGGAGUGAAAUAGUACCUGAAACCGUGUGCUUACAAUCCGUCAGAGCCUUGUUUGUUAGGUGAUGGCGUGCCUUUUGAAGAAUGAGCCUGCGAGUCAGCGGCAUGUCGCGAGGUUAACCCGUGUGGGGUAGUCGUAGCGAAAGCGAAUCCUAAUGAGGGUGUUUUUAAGUGGCAUGUCCUGGACCCGAAGCGGGGUGAUCUACCCAUGGCCAGUGUGAAGCAGCUGUAAGAGGUUGUGGAGGCGCGAACCCACUUAGGUUGAAAACUGAGGGGAUGAGCUGUGGGUAGGGGUGAAAGGCCAAUCAAACUCCGUGAUAGCUGGUUCUCCCCGAAAUGCAUUUAGGUGCAGCGUUGUGUGUUUCUUGCUGGAGGUAGAGCUACUGGUUGGUUGAGCGGGACUACAAUCUUAGCAAUGUCAGCCAAACUCCGAAUGCCGGUAAUGUUAAGCAUGGCAGUGAGACUGCGGGGGAUAAGCUCCGUUGGUCGAGAGGGAAACAGCCCAGAUCGCCGGUUAAGGCCCCUAAGGGUGUACUAAGUGGAAAAGGAUGUGGGAUCGCGAAGACAGCCAGGAGGUUGGCUUAGAAGCAGCCAUCCUUGAAAGAGUGCGUAAUAGCUCACUGGUCGAGUGGUUCUGCGCCGACAAUGUAGUGGGGCUCAAGUACACCGCCGAAGCCGCGGCAGUCAGCAAUUUUUUUGUUGGUUGGGUAGGGGAGCGUCGUGCACUGCUGUGAAGCACCUGGGUGACUUGAUGGUGUGGAGUGUGUGCGAGUGAGAAUGCAGGCAUGAGUAACGAAUGAAAAGUGGAAAACUUUUCCGCCGGAUGACUAAGGGUUCCUGGGUUAAGCUAAUCUUCCCAGGGUGAGUCGGGACCUAAGGCGAGGCCGACAGGCGUAGUCGAUGGAUAACCAGUUGAUAUUCUGGUACCCGUGUAUGUGCGCCCAGUGGUGAAUCAGUGGUACUAACCAUCCAUUGAUCUGCUGGUCAUGCUUUGUGUGUGGUUGGUGGUGAUGUGCGUGGGAUCUUCGUUGGUAGUAGCCAAGUGAUGGGGUGACGCAGUGAGGUAGCUGAGCCAUUUAUUGGAUUGUGGUGUAAGCGUGUGGCCCGUGGCAUAGGUAAAUCCGUGUUACAUAGUGGGUGAGGCGUGAUGCGUAGACCUUUGUGGUUGAUGUUGGUGAUCCUGUACUGUCGAGAAAAGCCUCUAGCGAGUGCAUAUAUGGCCCGUACCCAUAACCGACACAGGUGGUCAGGUAGAGAAUACUAAGGCGAUCGGGUGAACUGUGGUUAAGGAACUCGGCAAAUUGCCCCCGUAACUUCGGGAGAAGGGGGACCAUUGCUGGUGACCGACGUGGUUGAGCUGGUGGUGGUCGCAGAGAAUAGAGGGAAGCGACUGUUUAUUAAAAACACAGGUCCGUGCGAAAACGUGGAAGUUGAUGUAUACGGACUGACGCCUGCCCGGUGCUGGAAGGUUAAGAGGACCUGUUAGGGCAUUUUUUGUCCGAAGCGGAGAAUUUAAGCCCCAGUAAACGGCGGUGGUAACUAUAACCAUCCUAAGGUAGCGAAAUUCCUUGUCGGGUAAGUUCCGACCUGCACGAAUGGCGUAACGACUUCCCUGCUGUCUCAACCACAGGCCCGGUGAAAUUGCAGUACGAGUAAAGAUGCUCGUUACGCGCGGCAGGACGAAAAGACCCCGGGACCUUCACUAUAGCUUGGUAUUGGUGUUUGGUUCGGUUUGUGUAGGAUAGGUGGGAGACUGUGAAGUGGUCACGCUAGUGGUUGUGGAGUCGAAAGUUGAAAUACCACUCUGAUCGGAUUGAGCACCU
Molecule: ribosomal RNA, 2399 nt
Filed under: Corynebacterium diphtheriae
Lineage: Bacteria; Bacillati; Actinomycetota; Actinomycetes; Mycobacteriales; Corynebacteriaceae
Description: bacterial LSU rRNA
Rfam family: Bacterial large subunit ribosomal RNA
Source: RNAcentral